Molecule: unclassified non-coding RNA, 352 nt
Filed under: soil metagenome
Description: partial contains 5.8S ribosomal RNA, internal transcribed spacer 2, and large subunit ribosomal RNA
Rfam family: 5.8S ribosomal RNA (bases 1-120)
Source: RNAcentral
GAUGAAGAACGUAGCGAAAUGCGAUAAGUAAUGUGAAUUGCAGAAUUCAGUGAAUCAUCGAAUCUUUGAACGCACAUUGCGCCCGCAAGUAUUCUGGCGGGCAUGCCUGUUCGAGCGUCAUUACAACCCUCAGGCCCCCGGGCCUGGCGUUGGGGAUCGGCGGAGCCCCCCGUGGGCACACGCCGUCCCCCAAAUACAGUGGCGGUCCCGCCGCAGCUUCCAUCGCGUAGUAGCUAACACCUCGCGACUGGAGAGCGGCGCGGCCACGCCGUAAAACACCCAACUCUUCUGAAGUUGACCUCGAAUCAGGUAGGAAUACCCGCUGAACUUAAGCAAAUCAAUAAGCGGAGGA